AUGUGGAUUAAUUCGAUGUCAACGCGAAAACCUUACCUACCCUUGACAUGUCCGGAAUCCGAAGAGAUUUGGGAGUGCUCGCAAGAGAACCGGAACACAGGUGCUGCAUGGCUGUCGUCAGCUCGUGUCGUGAGAUGUGGGUUAAGUCCCGCAACGAGCGCAACCCUUGUCAUUAGUUGCCAUCAUUUGGUUGGGCACUCUAAUGAGACUGCCGGUGACAAACCGGAGGAAGGUGGGGAUGACGUCAAGUCCUCAUGGCCCUUAUGGGUAGGGCUUCACACGUCAUACAAUGGUCGGUACAGAGGGUUGCCAACCCGCGAGGGGGAGCUAAUCCCACAAAGCCGAUCGUAGUCCGGAUCGCAGUCUGCAACUCGACUGCGUGAAGUCGGAAUCGCUAGUAAUCGUGGAUCAGAAUGUCACGGUGAAUACGUUCCCGGGUCUU
RNAcentral lists this ribosomal RNA (442 nucleotides) under uncultured Rhodocyclaceae bacterium. RNAcentral's name for it is "bacterial SSU rRNA". It matches the Rfam family "Bacterial small subunit ribosomal RNA", at positions 939 to 1382 of the family's 1533-position model. The record is from RNAcentral. Lineage: Bacteria; Pseudomonadati; Pseudomonadota; Betaproteobacteria; Rhodocyclales; Rhodocyclaceae.